RNAcentral lists this ribosomal RNA (256 nucleotides) under uncultured Gardnerella sp. RNAcentral describes it as "partial 16S ribosomal RNA". It matches the Rfam family "Bacterial small subunit ribosomal RNA", at positions 98 to 355 of the family's 1533-position model. Lineage: Bacteria; Bacillati; Actinomycetota; Actinomycetes; Bifidobacteriales; Bifidobacteriaceae. The record is from RNAcentral.
CGGAACGGGUGAGUAAUGCGUGACCAACCUGCCCCAUGCUCCAGAAUAGCUCUUGGAAACGGGUGGUAAUGCUGGAUGCUCCAACUUGACGCAUGUCUUGUUGGGAAAGUGUUAGUGGCAUGGGAUGGGGUCGCGUCCUAUCAGCUUGUAGGCGGGGUAAUGGCCCACCUAGGCUUCGACGGGUAGCCGGCCUGAGAGGGCGGACGGCCACAUUGGGACUGAGAUACGGCCCAGACUCCUACGGGAGGCAGCAGCC